Chlorocebus sabaeus (green monkey) is the source of this 348-nucleotide unclassified non-coding RNA. It matches the Rfam family "Metazoan signal recognition particle RNA". Rfam says of the family: The signal recognition particle (SRP) is a universally conserved ribonucleoprotein. It is involved in the co-translational targeting of proteins to membranes. Lineage: Eukaryota; Metazoa; Chordata; Mammalia; Primates; Cercopithecidae. The record is from Ensembl.
GCCGGGCAUGGUACUACAUGCCUGUAGUCCCACCUACCUGGGAGACUAAAGCAGGAAAAUUGCUUGAGUCCAGGAGUUUGAGGCCACAGUGAACUAUGAACAUGCCACUGCACUCUAGCCUGGGCAACAGGCAGUAGAGUGAGACCCUAUCUCAAAAAAAAAAAAAAAAAGUUCACCAUCAAUAUGUUGACCUCCCAGGAGCAGGAGACCACUAGGUUGCCUAAGGAGAGGUGAAUCGGCCCAAGUCAGAAAAAGAGCAGGCCAAAAAUCCCAUGCUGAUGUGUAGUGGGCUAACACUUGUGAAGCCACUGUGCUCCACCCUGGGCAAUAUAACAAGACCUCAUUUCU